GUGAACGCUGGCGGUAGGCCUAACCCCUGCAAGUCGCACGGCAGCACAGUAAGAGCUUGCUCUUACGGGUGGCGAGUGGCGGACGGGUGAGGAAUACAUCGGAAUCUACUUUUUCGUGGGGGAUAACGUAGGGAAACUUACGCUAAUACCGCAUACGGCCUACGGGUGAAAGCAGGGGAUCUUCGGACCUUGCGCGAUUGAAUGAGCCGAUGUCGGAUUAGCUAGUUGGCGGGGUAAAGGCCCACCAAGGCGACGAUCCGUAGCUGGUCUGAGAGGAUGAUCAGCCACACUGGAACUGAGACACGGUCCAGACUCCUACGGGAGGCAGCAGUGGGGAAUAUUGGACAAUGGGCGCAAGCCUGAUCCAGCCAUACCGCGUGGGUGAAGAAGGCCUUCGGGUUGUAAAGCCCUUUUGUUGGGAAAGAAAAGCAGCAGGUUAAUACCCCGCUGUUCUGACGGUACCCAAAGAAUAAGCACCGGCUAACUUCGUG
This 491-nucleotide ribosomal RNA is filed under the name uncultured bacterium. RNAcentral's name for it is "partial 16S ribosomal RNA". It matches the Rfam family "Bacterial small subunit ribosomal RNA", at positions 29 to 507 of the family's 1533-position model. The record is from RNAcentral.